AUUGAACGCUGGCGACAGGCCUAACACAUGCAAGUCGAGCGCGAAAGUCUUCGGAUGAGUAAAGCGGCGAACGGGUGAGUAAUGCAUGGGAAUCUGCCUGGUAGUGGGGGACAACGUCUCGAAAGGGACGCUAAUACCGCAUACGCCCUACGGGGGAAAGGGGGGGAUCUUCGGACCUCUCGCUAUCAGAUGAGCCCAUGUCAGAUUAGCUAGUUGGUGAGGUAAAGGCUCACCAAGGCGACGAUCUGUAACUGGUCUGAGAGGAUGAUCAGUCACACUGGAACUGAGACACGGUCCAGACUCCUACGGGAGGCAGCAGUGGGGGAAUAUUGGACGAAUGGGGGCAACCCUGAUCCAGCCAUGCCGCGUGUGUGAAGAAGGCCCUAGGGUUGUAAAGCACUUUCAGUGGGGAGAAAGGUUAUUCACUAAUACGUGAGUAGAUUGAUGUUACCACAGAAGAAGCACCGGCUAACUCCGU
This 478-nucleotide ribosomal RNA is filed under the name uncultured bacterium. Its description in RNAcentral is "bacterial SSU rRNA". It matches the Rfam family "Bacterial small subunit ribosomal RNA", at positions 30 to 506 of the family's 1533-position model. The record is from RNAcentral.